GUCUGUGGCCAUACCACCCUGAACACACCCAAUCUCGUCUGGUCUCAGAAGCUAAGCAGGGUCCAGCUUGGUUAGUACUUGGAUGGGAGAAAGAUCUUUAGAGGAGACUGCUCAGGGACAAACAGUCUAGAGACA
This 135-nucleotide ribosomal RNA is filed under the name Castor canadensis (American beaver). The record is from RNAcentral. Lineage: Eukaryota; Metazoa; Chordata; Mammalia; Rodentia; Castoridae.